GAUGAACGCUGGCGGCGUGCCUAAUACAUGCAAGUCGAGCGAACAGAUGAGGAGCUUGCUCCUCUGACGUUAGCGGCGGACGGGUGAGUAACACGUGGAUAACCUACCUAUAAGACUGGGAUAACUUCGGGAAACCGGAGCUAAUACCGGAUAAUAUAUUGAACCGCAUGGUUCAAUAGUGAAAGACGGUUUUGCUGUCACUUAUAGAUUGAUCCACGCCGCAUUAGCUAGUUGGUAAGGUAACGGCUUACCAAGGCAACGAUGCGUAUCCGACCUGAGAGGGUGAUCGGCCACACUGGAACGGAGACACGGAACAGACUCCUACGGGAGGCAGCAGUAGGGAAUAUUCCGCAAUGGGCGAAAGCAUGACGGAGCAACGCCGCGUGAGUGAUGAAGGUCUUCGGAUCGUAAAACUCUGUUAUUAGGGAAGAAAAAAUGUGUAAGUAACUAUGCACGUCUUGACGGUAACUAAUCAGAAAGCCACGGCUAACUACGUG
RNAcentral lists this ribosomal RNA (497 nucleotides) under uncultured bacterium. Its description in RNAcentral is "partial 16S ribosomal RNA". It matches the Rfam family "Bacterial small subunit ribosomal RNA", at positions 28 to 507 of the family's 1533-position model. The record is from RNAcentral.